This 461-nucleotide ribosomal RNA is filed under the name uncultured bacterium. Its description in RNAcentral is "partial 16S ribosomal RNA". It matches the Rfam family "Bacterial small subunit ribosomal RNA", at positions 338 to 795 of the family's 1533-position model. The record is from RNAcentral.
CCUACGGGUGGCAGCAGUGAGGAAUAUUGGUCAAUGGGAGGAAUCCUGAACCAGCCAUGCCGCGUGCAGGACGACGGCUCUACGAGUUGUAAACUGCUUUUGUACCGGGGUAAAAUGCUCUACGAGUAGGGUUUUGAAAGUACGGUACGAAUAAGGAUCGGCUAAGUCCGUGCCAGCAGCCGCGGUAAUACGGAGGAUCCGAGCGUUAUCCGGAUUUAUUGGGUUUAAAGGGUGCGUAGGUUGUUUUAUAAGUUAGCGGUGAAAUACCGAUGCUCAACAUCGGGGCUGCCGCUGAUACUGUAGGACUAGGGAUCGGAUGCAGCAGGCGGAAUGUGUAGUGGAGCGGUGAAAUGCAGAGAUAUUACACAGAACACCGAGUGCGAAGGCAGCUUGCUAGGCCGGAUCUGACACUGAUGCACGAAAGCGUGGGGAUCGAACAGGAUUAGAUACCCCGUGUAGUC